CCUACGGGAGGCAGCAGUGGGGAAUAUUGCACAAUGGGGGGAACCCUGAUGCAGCGACGCCGCGUGAGUGAAGAAGUAUUUCGGUAUGUAAAGCUCUAUCAGCAGGGAAGAAAAUGACGGUACCUGACUAAGAAGCCCCGGCUAACUACGUGCCAGCAGCCGCGGUAAUACGUAGGGGGCAAGCGUUAUCCGGAUUUACUGGGUGUUAAGGGAGCGCAGACGGCUGUGCAAGUCUGGAGUGAAAGGCGGGGGCCCAACCCCCGGACUGCUCUGGAAACUGUAAAGCUUGAGUGCAGGAGAGGUAAGCGGAAUUCGUAGUGUAGCGGUGAAAUGCGUAGAUAUUAGGAGGAACACCAGUGGCGAAGGCGGCUUACUGGACUGCAACUGACGUUGAGGCUCGAAAGCGUGGGGAGCAAACAGGAUUAGAUACCCCAGUAGUC
RNAcentral lists this ribosomal RNA (440 nucleotides) under uncultured bacterium. Its description in RNAcentral is "partial 16S ribosomal RNA". It matches the Rfam family "Bacterial small subunit ribosomal RNA", at positions 338 to 795 of the family's 1533-position model. The record is from RNAcentral.